AGCAGCCGCGGUAAUUCCAGCUCCAAUAGCGUAUAUUAAAGUUGUUGCAGUUAAAAAGCUCGUAGUUGAACUUCGAGACCGGCUUACUGGGCGUGCUAUUGUACGUACUGGUAUAAUCGGUUUCUCCUUUCUGACGAACUUUAAUGCCAUUAAUUUGGUGUUUUAGGGAAUCAGGACUGUUACUUUGAAAAAAUUAGAGUGUUUAAAGCAGGCUCACGCUUGAAUACAUUAGCAUGGAAUAACGGAAUAGGACGUUUGAUUCUAUUUUGUUGGUUUCUAGGAUCGACGUAAUGAUUAAUAGGGAUAGUUGGGGGCAUUAGUAUUCAAUUGUCAGAGGUGAAAUUCUUGGAUUUAUUGAAGACUAACUACUGCGAAAGCAUUUGCCAAGGAUGUUUUCAUUAAUCAAGAACGAAAGUUAGGGGAUCGAAGACGAUCAGAUACCGUCGUAGUCUUAACCAUAAACUAUGCCGACUAGGGAUCGGAUGAUGUUAAUUUUUAAUGACUCAUUC
This 509-nucleotide ribosomal RNA is filed under the name uncultured Glomus. RNAcentral describes it as "SSU rRNA". It matches the Rfam family "Eukaryotic small subunit ribosomal RNA", at positions 569 to 1081 of the family's 1831-position model. The record is from RNAcentral. Lineage: Eukaryota; Fungi; Glomeromycota; Glomeromycetes; Glomerales; Glomeraceae.